AUUUGUACGGUUACAAUGGGAGUGCAGAAAUAAAAUUGAGAAGAUAAUUUAUCCAAAAGCUUCAGAUAUUUCAAGGCUUAAAAUAAUAUAAUUUAAAACUGUAUUAAUAGUGAAUGGUAAAUCCUUUUCCAAGUUGAAAUAGGUAAGUUUUCAGGCUGCUUCAGGGAGCUGAGCUGACAUGAAAGACUUAGAGUUUGUAGUAAGCCAAGCUGCAUAUGGCCUCUCGUGGUAGGACGAGGUUUAGCCAUCAGCUGAGCUUGAAGAACUUGUCAGCUCAGUAGUUUUAUAAAAGGGUUCCAAGAAUUGUUUUAGAAUUUGAUUGAAUCAAUCUGCGUGUCAUCCACAGAAAUCAUCUAGGUUCUGUGUUCUAUCUGCUUGUGAAAAAAGGAGACCUCACUAGCAAUGGAAGACAUGCAGGUGGAAUUCCUCAAAUGACCCAGAUGUGGGCUUCCGAAGCGUGUAAAUGAGCUACCACGUAAGCCCAUACAUUCAGCUCACUAGUACACAUCAGCAAUUAUGAUUACUCUAAAUGUACUGAGAA
This 541-nucleotide long non-coding RNA is filed under the name Anser brachyrhynchus (Pink-footed goose). Its description in RNAcentral is "lncRNA (ENSABRG00000021296.1)". The record is from RNAcentral. Lineage: Eukaryota; Metazoa; Chordata; Aves; Anseriformes; Anatidae.